RNAcentral lists this ribosomal RNA (160 nucleotides) under uncultured bacterium KNIB55. RNAcentral's name for it is "partial 16S ribosomal RNA". It matches the Rfam family "Bacterial small subunit ribosomal RNA", at positions 335 to 491 of the family's 1533-position model. The record is from RNAcentral.
ACUCCUACGGGAGGCAGCAGUGAGGAAUAUUGGACAAUGGAGGAGACUCUGAUCCAGCCANGCCGCGUGUAGGAAGAAUGCCCUAUGANGUUGUAAACUNCUUUUAUACAGGAAGAAACNCUGGUAUGUAUANCAGCUUGGCGGUACUGUCAGAGGAAGG